RNAcentral lists this ribosomal RNA (253 nucleotides) under uncultured bacterium. RNAcentral describes it as "partial 16S ribosomal RNA". It matches the Rfam family "Bacterial small subunit ribosomal RNA", at positions 524 to 776 of the family's 1533-position model. The record is from RNAcentral.
UACAGAGGUGGCAAGCGUUGUUCGGAAUUACUGGGCGUAAAGGGCGCGUAGGCGGUUCGUUAAGUCCUGUGUGAAAUCCACCGGCUCAACUGGGGAACUGCACAGGAAACUAGCGGGCUUGAGUUCGGGAGAGGGAAGCGGAAUUCCGGGUGUAGCGGUGAAAUGCGUAGAUAUCCGGAGGAACACCGGUGGCGAAGGCGGCUUCCUGGACCGACACUGACGCUGAGGCGCGAAAGCUAGGGGAGCAAACGGG